Molecule: long non-coding RNA, 3156 nt
Filed under: Panax ginseng (ginseng)
Lineage: Eukaryota; Viridiplantae; Streptophyta; Magnoliopsida; Apiales; Araliaceae
Description: long non-coding RNA (PGIN_LNC016906)
Source: RNAcentral
UUGGAGAUAACAAACAAUAAAAACACUACGAUCAAUAAUAUUUUUAUGGUAUAACUCAAUUGAUCAAUACAGUGCAGUGUUGAUACAUAGAGAGAUCAGCUCUUAACCUGCGUGUCAAUUAACUAAAAUUAAUUGCAUACUAAACACUUCCCCUUUUUGUCACAGCGUAAUAUUAUCAUUAAAUAUAGUACUCCCAAUAGCCAAUAAUGGUGCCAUAAAUUACAAUAUAGAGACAUUUCACAUUAGAAAUAAAAAACUGAUAUUUUCACGCGUAUUCUUAAUAUUUUUAUAUAAUUAUUUUUUAAAAUAGUGUUUCCUAAAAAUAUCAUGUAGAAGAGGAAAUGAAAUUCUUGAUCAAAUCAUUCCAUGCCUCGGCCUUUCUUGGAUCCAACAGCUCCGGACCAUGGAAUCCUUCCUCCUCAAAACUAGCCACCACGUGCACUCCACGUACCUCCAACAUUUUCACAAUUCUCUUCUGCCUAUCAACCAAUGGGUCCUCACCGUACCCUCUUACCAAACACCUUGGCAGCCGUUUGAUCUUAUCUACAUCCUCACAAUCAAACGGGUUAGAAUACUCAUGAUCGCGAUCACUACCUUUGGGCAAUGCUAACGACCACAUCAGAUCAGUAACCGCCACUGACACAAUCGGAUCAUUAAUUAAUCUUAACUCCGAUGGGGUUCUCCCAACCCCACUGAAAAAUGGCUGAUUCAUUAUCAGUCCUACGAUCUUAAUCGGUCCAAGAUCAGUAUCAAGUGCACGUACAUCCGCGUAAUAGAUUAUAGUUGCCCCCGCGCUACUUCCCAUCAAGUAAACAUUUGAAAAAUCAGCCAUCUCCUUCAACCACGGAUCACAACCGUUGAUCUCCAUAGCCUGAUCCCGGACCCACGUAAUUGCCUCCAUGGCAUCGUCGUACGCUGCAGGAAGGCGGUGUUCUGGCGCGAGACGGUAUUCAACGGACAGGAUUAAAGCAGGGAAAUGAGCAGCCAUGCGAGCGCAUGAUUUAUGAAAAGGAGCCGUUGUAGAGCUGAAUAGUAUGAAUCCGCCGGCAUGGAAAUCGACGAUGAUGGGGAUUUUUGUGGUCGGAGGAGAGAGUGAAAGGGGGCGGAAGAGGCGAAUGAAUGUUUUGUUGGUGGGAUUGAGAGGAAUAUCUUUGGAGAGAGAAAGGGGCGAGUUGGAAGAGGUGAGUUGACUGGGUUCGGGAUUUGGUGGAACGGACGGGAACAGCUCGUGUCGAGUUAGUGAGCCAUCUGGGUUUUGAACAAUGUUGAGGACUUUGUAAGGGUCGAUAAUGGAGGGGGGGUGGGGUGGGGUGGAUUCUUGGUCCGCCAUUGUCGUUGUUUUAGCCUCCUAGCUUUAACACAAAUGGAUCUCUUUCAUGAGAAAGUGGAAAGAUACUGAAAACUAAUUAUAAGUAUAUUUAUUAUAUCUAAACAUACUUUAUUGAUCAAAUUACUCUUAAAAUGAUCAAAUUAAUAAAUUAAUUUAUCUCCUCUUAAAUUAUUAUAUAUUGGUAUUAAUGACACACUCGUCCAAGAAAAAAUAGAAUAUAAUAAAAUUGAGACCACAUUAUUUUUUGAUAUUUUCACACGUAAGAAUUAUACUUGAGAAAGGACUAUUAAUCCAAGUGUCUUAUUUAUUUUCAAAUUUAAACUUGCUAACUAUUAAUCUCGAAUUAUAAAAUAAUUUAAUAGUUUUGACAUUAUAAUUAUAAUUGUGAGAUUAUAAUUCUAGUAUUAAUAGUAUUGGGAUUAUAAUCCCAUAAAUUAUAAUUUCAGAAUUAUAGUAAUUCUUAGAAACAAUCGUAGCAUAUCAAUUUCCUAAACCAAUGAUCAUUAAGAUAGAUAUACCGGUCCCAACUCCCAACUGCCAAUGAAAUUAAAGGUGCCAUAAAUUACAAUGUAGACUUGUUCACAGCAGAAACAUGAAUGAAAUUCUUGAUGGAAUCAUACAAUGCCUCAGCCUUUCGUGGAUCAAACAGCUCCGCACCAUGGGAUCCUUCCUCCUCAAAACUAGCCACCACGAGCGCUCCACGUGCCUCCAACAUUUUUGCAAAAUCCUUUUGCCUAUCAACCAGUGGGUCCCCACCAUACCCUCUUACUAAACACCUUGGCAGCCGUUUGAUCUUAUCUGCGUUAUCCCGAUCAAACGGGUUAGAAAGGUAGUGAUCGCGAUCACUACCUUUGGGCAAUGCUAAUGACCACAUCAGAUCACUAACCACCAAUGGCACAAUCUUAUCAUUAACUAAUCUUAACUCGGAUGGUGUUCUCUCGACCCCACUAAAAAAAGGUUGAUUCAUCAUCAGCCCCACGAUCUUAAUCGGUGAAAGAUCAGCAUCAACUGCACGUACACCCGCGUAGUACGUUAUGGUAGCCCCCGCGCUACUUCCAAACAAGUAAACUCGAGAAAAAUCAGCCAGCUCCUUCAACCACGGAUCACAACCGUUGAUCUCUUUCGCCUGAUCCCGGACCCACGCGAUUGCCUCCGUGGCAUCAUCGUACGCUGCAGGAAGGCGGUGUUCGGGCGCAAGACGGUAUUCAACGGCCACGAUUAAAGCCGGGAAUUGAGCUGCCAUGCGGGCGCAUGAUUUAUGAAAAGGAGCCGAUGUAGAGCUGAAUAGUAUGAAUCCGCCGCCAUGGAAAUCGAUGAUGAUGGGGAUUUUUGUGGUCGGAGGAGAGAGAGAAAUGGGGCGGAAGAGGCGAAUGAAUGUUUUGUUGGUGGGAUUGAGAGGAAUGUCUUUGGAGAGAGAAAGGGGGGAGUUGGAAUCGGUGAGUUGACUGGGUUCGGGGUUUGGUGGAACGGACAGGAACAGUUCGUGUCGAGUUAGUGAGCCAUCUGGGUUUUGAACAAUGUUGAGGAGCUUGUAAGGGUCGAUAAUGGAGGGGGUCGAGGUGGAUUCUUGGUCGGCCAUUGUUGUUUCUCUAGGCUUGUCUCUGUGUUAACUAAUUGCUCUUGUUCAUAAAUAAAUUUGUGGAGGGGAAGAGUAAAUAAGUGGUGGUCUGAGUAGGUGCGUUCAUUUACUAGUCGCUAUAAUUGGAACAUUUCAAAUCUCAUUUUAUUGAUUUGGAGUGGAUUGACCAUUUCUUUUUCAUUUUUCAUUUUUAAGUGGAUGUGUUGUAAAAGGUUAAAAAAUUUAUAGUUAAAUUAAUAUACAUAAU